AUUUUCUUUUAUCAAGUUCUUUGCAAAUCCUUAUUUUCAAAGACAUAAGCUAUUCAUCCAUUGUUCUUCAGAGAUUCAUUCAGUUCUCAAUACAC
This 95-nucleotide small RNA is filed under the name Arabidopsis thaliana (thale cress). RNAcentral's name for it is "ATSL199860". Lineage: Eukaryota; Viridiplantae; Streptophyta; Magnoliopsida; Brassicales; Brassicaceae. The record is from RNAcentral.